AUUGAACGCUGGCGGCAGGCCUAACACAUGCAAGUCGAGCGGUAGCACAGGGAGCUUGCUCCUGGGUGACGAGCGGCGGACGGGUGAGUAAUGUCUGGGAAACUGCCUGAUGGAGGGGGAUAACUACUGGAAACGGUAGCUAAUACCGCAUAACGUCGCAAGACCAAAGAGGGGGACCUUCGGGCCUCUUGCCAUCAGAU
Molecule: ribosomal RNA, 200 nt
Filed under: uncultured bacterium
Lineage: Bacteria
Description: partial 16S ribosomal RNA
Rfam family: Bacterial small subunit ribosomal RNA
Source: RNAcentral